AGCAGUCGCCACGGUAACACGUAGGUGGCAAGCGUUGUCCGGAAUUAUUGGGCGUAAAGCGCGCGCAGGCGGAUAGGUCAGUCUGUCUUAAAAGUUCGGGGCUUAACCCCGUGAUGAGAUGGAAACUGCCAAUCUAGAGUAUCGGAGAGGAAAGUGGAAUUCCUAGUGUAGCGGUGAAAUGCGUAGAUAUUAGGAAGAACACCAGUGGCGAAGGCGACUUUCUGGACGAAAACUGACGCUGAGGCGCGAAAGCCAGGGGAGCGAACGGGAUUAGAUACCCGAGUAGUCCCUGUCUCUUAUACA
This 303-nucleotide ribosomal RNA is filed under the name uncultured bacterium. RNAcentral describes it as "partial 16S ribosomal RNA". It matches the Rfam family "Bacterial small subunit ribosomal RNA", at positions 507 to 809 of the family's 1533-position model. The record is from RNAcentral.